This 461-nucleotide ribosomal RNA is filed under the name uncultured Glomus. RNAcentral's name for it is "SSU rRNA". It matches the Rfam family "Eukaryotic small subunit ribosomal RNA", at positions 623 to 1085 of the family's 1831-position model. Lineage: Eukaryota; Fungi; Glomeromycota; Glomeromycetes; Glomerales; Glomeraceae. The record is from RNAcentral.
AAAGCUCGUAGUUGAACUUCGGGAUCAAUGGAUUGGUCAUGCCGAUGGUAUGAACUGGUCAUAUUGGUUCUCACCUUCUAAGGAACCAUGAUGUCAUUUAUUUGAUGUUGUGGGGAAUUAGGACUGUUACCUUGAAAAAAUUAGAGUGUUUAAAGCAGGCUAACGCUUGAAUACAUUAGCAUGGAAUAAUGAAAUAGGACAUCGCAUUCUAUUUUGUUGGUUUCUAGGAUCGAUGUAAUGAUUAAUAGGGAUAGUUGGGGGCAUUAGUAUUCAAUUGUCAGAGGUGAAAUUCUUGGAUUUAUUGAAGACUAACUACUGCGAAAGCAUUUGCCAAGGAUGUUUUCAUUAAUCAAGAACGAAAGUUAGGGGAUCGAAGACGAUCAGAUACCGUCGUAGUCUUAACCAUAAACUAUGCCGACUAGGGAUCGGAUGAUGUUGAUUUUUUAAUGACUCAUUCGGCA